Molecule: ribosomal RNA, 433 nt
Filed under: uncultured bacterium
Lineage: Bacteria
Description: partial 16S ribosomal RNA
Rfam family: Bacterial small subunit ribosomal RNA
Source: RNAcentral
AGCGAACGCUGGCGGCAGGCCUAACACAUGCAAGUCGAACGAACUCUUCGGAGUUAGUGGCGGACGGGUGAGUAACACGUGGGAACGUGCCUUUAGGUUCGGAAUAACUCAGGGAAACUUGUGCUAAUACCGAAUGUGCCCUUCGGGGGAAAGAUUUAUCGCCUUUAGAGCGGCCCGCGUCUGACUAGCUAGUUGGUGAGGUAAAGGCUCACCAAGGCGACGAUCAGUAGCUGGUCUGAGAGGAUGAUCAGCCACAUUGGGACUGAGACACGGUCCAAACUCCUACGGGAGGCAGCAGUGGGGAAUCUUGCGCAAUGGGCGAAAGCCUGACGCAGCCAUGCCGCGUGAAUGAUGAAGGUCUUAGGAUUGUAAAAUUCUUUCACCGGGGACGAUAAUGACGGUACCCGGAGAAGAAGCCCCGGCUAACUUCGUG